This is an unclassified non-coding RNA of Mola mola (ocean sunfish), 298 nucleotides long. It matches the Rfam family "Metazoan signal recognition particle RNA". From Rfam's summary of the family: The signal recognition particle (SRP) is a universally conserved ribonucleoprotein. It is involved in the co-translational targeting of proteins to membranes. The eukaryotic SRP consists of a 300-nucleotide 7S RNA and six proteins: SRPs 72, 68, 54, 19, 14, and 9. The record is from Ensembl. NCBI's taxonomy places the organism in Eukaryota, Metazoa, Chordata, Actinopteri, Tetraodontiformes, Molidae.
GCCGGGUGCGGUGGCGCGCGCCUGUAAUCCAAGCUACCGGGAGGCUGAGGCUGGCGGAUCGUUUGAGCUCAGGAGCUCUGGGCUGCGGCGGACUACGCCGAUCGGAUGUCCGCGUUAAGUUCGGUAUCGAUAUGGUGCUCCUGGGGGAGCCCGGGGUCACCAGGUCGCCUAAGGAGGGGUGAACCGGCCCAGGUCGGAAACGGAGCAGGUCAAAGCCCCCGUGCCGCUCAGUAGUGGGAUCGCGUCCGUGAAUAGACGCUGCAGUGCAGCCUGGGUAAUACAGCGGGACUCAGUCUUU